AUAUUUUUCUUGAUCUCGUUGCUGAAGUUCUCUUGAUAUUUUCCUGUGCUACUUAUUUCCUAUUUUGUUAGAAUUUUUAGUUUACAAGUUCAUUGAAUCGAGCCCUACUUCCCCGUUUUUUGCGUCAACAUUCUACUGUAAAAAUUUCCAGAAUCAUGUGUUUUGGAAAGAGCUGAUAUGAUAAUAAGUUUGUGUAUAAUGUGUUAGAUGCUGAUCGACUUUGUCAUACUAACUCAUACUCGUACUAAGAGAUGCGAGCAACAAUAACAAGUCUCCUGAAGAAUGUUCCAGUCAAAGAGUUGGAAACAAUUGUGACUGUAUAAGUUGUGGAAUAUCUUUGAACAGGCACUCAAGAAGACAAAAUCACAGGCCAUAGGCUUAUGGAAAAAAGUGAUAAGUGGCAUUAUACAAAAAAACAAAUAUCUCCAAGACAGAUGCCUGAUGGAUGCUUGAAUUAGAGAUGGAUGGUUGUUUGCAGGAUGAGCUCACAUCGAAAGCAUUAAUAUUUAGUGAACAGUAAAGCUGUGUUAAGUGUGCCGUUGCAUUGUAUGUAGUUAGUAGCUAUUUAUGUUCAUAGAUUUUGUUAAACUACCUAUGAGCUUAAAUCACUUUAUAUUAUCAUAUCAUAACAUAACAUAACAAAUACUUUUUUGCACAAACAGGAAAAAACAAAAUACAAAACAAAAGAGAAAUAGAAUUAGUACAAUAGGCGGCCUUAUCAUUAAAUAGAUAAAAAAAAUAACUAUGUAUAUUUUAAUGUUAUUGUUAAGUUUUUAUAUAGCUACUUACUAAUAAUGUAACCAUACAUCUCAUCAUCUCCUAUUACAUAGCUUGUGAGGUGGAUGGCGAACCUCAUCAACCCUGUUAUAGGAUUAUUACUGAGCCACCCUGUUGUUACAUAAACCAAGUCCCCUGACAUGGUUUAUGUAACAACUAUGUAAUUAUAUUAGUAAGUAGUAACUGAGACCAACAGCUUCACAUGCUAUCCAAAGGAUUGCAAAGUAAUUUUUGUGAUAUGUCUACACCGGGUUCGAACUUUGGAUUGUGAGCCUGUCAGUCAACUACUCUAAAUUGCAGAGAAGGGGAGGAAAGUAGUUGGUUAAGUUGAUGUUUUAUUAGUCAGUAUAGUCCUGAAGGUGUUGUGUGACAGACCUGAUUGCCCAAUAUGGGCAUACUGGACGGACCUCCAUAUUAUACCAGUCAAGCCGGGAUAUGGUGUCCGCCGGUAAAAUCGAGUCCAGGCCUGGGCGCCAUACAUUCUUGAAACGUCUCCUUUAUCAUAUUUUAUUUUUGUUGCUUUUGUUUGUUUUAUGUACCUGUUACUAACAUUAGGUUUAAGUUACUUUGUACUUACUAACAUCUAUGGAUUUCAAAUCCGAAAUAAAUUAUUAUUCAUU
Long non-coding RNA from Pectinophora gossypiella (pink bollworm), 1397 nucleotides. RefSeq lists it as uncharacterized. The transcript has 3 exons. Lineage: Eukaryota; Metazoa; Arthropoda; Insecta; Lepidoptera; Gelechiidae. The record is from RefSeq and is a predicted model, not a curated record.